This 253-nucleotide ribosomal RNA is filed under the name uncultured bacterium. RNAcentral describes it as "partial 16S ribosomal RNA". It matches the Rfam family "Bacterial small subunit ribosomal RNA", at positions 524 to 776 of the family's 1533-position model. The record is from RNAcentral.
UACGUAGGGUCCGAGCGUUAAUCGGAAUUACUGGGCGUAAAGCGUGCGCAGGCGGUGAGCUGUGUCCGAUGUGAAAGCCCCGGGCUUAACCUGGGAAUGGCAUUGGAAACUGGCUCGCUGGAGUGUGGCAGAGGGGGGUGGAAUUCCGCGUGUAGCAGUGAAAUGCGUAGAGAUGCGGAGGAACACCGAUGGCGAAGGCAGCCCCCUGGGCUAACACUGACGCUCAGGCACGAAAGCGUGGGGAGCAAACAGG